This 492-nucleotide ribosomal RNA is filed under the name uncultured bacterium. RNAcentral's name for it is "partial 16S ribosomal RNA". It matches the Rfam family "Bacterial small subunit ribosomal RNA", at positions 29 to 507 of the family's 1533-position model. The record is from RNAcentral.
AGUGAACGCUGGCGGUAGGCCUAACACAUGCAAGUCGAACGGCAGCACAGUAAGAGCUUGCUCUUACGGGUGGCGAGUGGCGGACGGGUGAGGAAUACAUCGGAAUCUACUUUUUCGUGGGGGAUAACGUAGGGAAACUUACGCUAAUACCGCAUACGACCUACGGGUGAAAGCAGGGGAUCUUCGGACCUUGCGCGAUUGAAUGAGCCGAUGUCGGAUUAGCUAGUUGGCGGGGUAAAGGCCCACCAAGGCGACGAUCCGUAGCUGGUCUGAGAGGAUGAUCGGCCACACUGGAACUGAGACACGGUCCAGACUCCUACGGGAGGCAGCAGUGGGGAAUAUUGGACAAUGGGCGCAAGCCUGAUCCAGCCAUACCGCGUGGGUGAAGAAGGCCUUCGGGUUGUAAAGCCCUUUUAUUGGGAAAGAAAAGCAGCAUGUGAAUACCCCGCUGUUCUGACGGUACCCAAAGAAUAAGCACCGGCUAACUUCGUG